RNAcentral lists this unclassified non-coding RNA (206 nucleotides) under Hevea brasiliensis (rubber tree). Lineage: Eukaryota; Viridiplantae; Streptophyta; Magnoliopsida; Malpighiales; Euphorbiaceae. The record is from RNAcentral.
AGGUUACAUUGACUCGAACCAGGCUGUACUUCUAUUCAAUUUUAUUUAUUCAUUGUUUCUCACUUCUCCAGAAUUACGUUUGGAUUUGGAAUUACUGUUGGGUUACCCUUGUUUAGUUUUGGUACAAGAAUCCUAAACUGAUGUGCUGUAUAUUUGGUCAUCCCUGUUCAUAGAGCCGUUCUGUCGCUCUGCUUUAUCGCCGAGCA